Molecule: ribosomal RNA, 253 nt
Filed under: uncultured bacterium
Lineage: Bacteria
Description: partial 16S ribosomal RNA
Rfam family: Bacterial small subunit ribosomal RNA
Source: RNAcentral
UACGUAGGCUACAAGCGUUAUCCGGAGUUACUGGGCGUAAAGGGCGUGUAGGCGGUUUCGUAAGUCUGGCGUGAAAUUUCUCGGCUUAACCGAGGCAGGUCGUCGGAUACUGCGAGGCUAGAGGACGGUAGAGGCGUGUGGAAUUCCGGGUGUAGUGGUGAAAUGCGUAGAGAUCCGGAGGAACACCAGUGGCGAAGGCGACACGCUGGGCCGUACCUGACGCUGAUGCGCGACAGCAUGGGGAGCAAACAGG